RNAcentral lists this ribosomal RNA (503 nucleotides) under uncultured bacterium. Its description in RNAcentral is "bacterial SSU rRNA". It matches the Rfam family "Bacterial small subunit ribosomal RNA", at positions 791 to 1299 of the family's 1533-position model. The record is from RNAcentral.
UAGUCCACGCCGUAAACGAUGAUUACUCGGUGCUGGCGAUAUACUGUCAGUGCCUAAACGAAAGUGAUAAGUAAUCCACCUGGGGAGUACGAUCGCAAGGUUGAAACUCAAAGGAAUUGACGGGGGCCCGCACAAGCGGUGGAGCAUGUGGUUUAAUUCGAUGAUACGCGAGGAACCUUACCUGGGCUUAAAUGCAUAAUGACUGACUGGGAAACCAGUCGUUCUUCGGACAGAAUGCAAGGUGCUGCAUGGCUGUCGUCAGCUCGUGCUGUGAGGUGUCGGGUUAAGUCCCAUAACGAGCGCAACCCCUAUUUCUAGUUGCCAGCACAUAAUGGUGGGGACUCUAGAGAGACUGCCGGCGUAAGCCGCGAGGAAGGUGGGGAUGACGUCAAAUCAUCAUGGCCUUUAUGCCUAGGGCUACACACGUGCUACAAUGGCGAAUACAAAGGGUAGCGAAGCCGCGAGGUGGAGCCAAUCCCAGAAAGUUCGUCCCAGUUCGGAUU